CGCAAUAGCAGACAAAAAGUCAUGAGAGGCGCGAGGCUGCGCGAGAAAAUGUUAUUGAUGCCUCGCGAUCAAGACGACGGCUUCGUGGCCAAGAAGAGGACAGACAUAUGCUUUGUCAAACUCUCAGUUGUCUCUUUGGGUCUUUUGUGUUUCUUUUCUUUUUUCCCUCUCUCUCUCUCUCUUUUGGUGGUGUCUGCCGGUGCCCAUCUAGGGGCGCGGUGAGGCUGGCGAAUGGAUCGAUGUGCGCGUAUCACGAGUCACGGAGCCGUUCAGCCAGAUGCCCGCAAAGGGCCGGCCUUUCCCGGCGACCGUGAGGACGCCCGUUCCAUGGCGCUCCCCGCCUCUCCAGUGACCGCAGUGGCGCCAGACGUCGCCGCCAGACCACCGGCCGUUGCCCGAGCCGUCCGGCAGCAGGACCCACCGGCCACGGCCAUAAACGCGCGUUCCGUAUCCAUCAAAGAGGUCAUCCCUCCAACAGCCCUCCAUGGCCACCGUGUAUUCGAGGCACACAUUGACGCCUUGGCCUUGGCGCUGGCCGGCGCGCCAAAACCCCUCGUGCCAUUUGAGCAGGGCCGACGGCGCGGGCCACGAGCGAGUCGACUCUCUCGUCGUCUCGGCGGCCUUUUCGCACCGCGCGCCAACGGCAGACGCGGUCUCACCGGUGCGCGUGUGGACCAUGGCGCCAUAGCCAUCGGGCAGGCCGCGUGCGUCCACAUCGCCCACGUAAAACCGAUACGGUCCAUAAUCGACACGCCCCACAGCGGGUCGGCCGCGCGCGGGUCGAUCAGACGACGCGGCCAAAAGCCACGCCCAGCCUUUUCCGGCGCGGCUCCACGCUCCCAUCAAAAACACGGGCACACCGGGGCCGUGGACGGCCACAUAAGCGCGCCUGCACGAGGCCUCGUGCACCUCGCCCGUCGCGCCAUCUUGCGCAUCACCAUCAUAAUCAUCAUCGUCAUAAAAGAGCAAACAGUCC
Molecule: long non-coding RNA, 976 nt
Filed under: Pandoravirus neocaledonia
Description: hypothetical ncRNA
Source: RNAcentral